This 2923-nucleotide long non-coding RNA is filed under the name Manihot esculenta (cassava). Its description in RNAcentral is "long non-coding RNA (MESC_LNC004049)". Lineage: Eukaryota; Viridiplantae; Streptophyta; Magnoliopsida; Malpighiales; Euphorbiaceae. The record is from RNAcentral.
CUAAACCGUUUAAAAAAUCAGUACUCAACAACCCAUCCUUGAGCCUAUUAUACAUCCACUGUCGAUUGGCAUUCAUUUUCCUACACAAGAUAUAUGUAGUAAAAAUAUAUAAAUUAAAUUCAUUAAAAUGAGAUAUAUAAGCACUCCUCUUUAAGUGGCGCCAGGCCUUCAUUUUUUUUUAAUUUUUUUAAUUAUUAAAAUAUUAUAAUUAUAUUAAUUAAAUAAUAUAUUAUUUUUAAAAAUUAGAUAAAUAUUUAAAAUUUAAUAUGAAUAUUUAAAAUUAUAAAAAUUAAAUUUAUUUUUAUUUGACUGUCACUCGUAUGUAAUCACAGAAUAAUAAUACUAAAGAAAAUAACAAUGAAAUAACAUCAGAUUGAUACUGAAGAAAGAUAACCAAGUGUACAAUGCAAUAAAAGAUGAUCCACCGUCUUUGCCAUUAGAAUGCAUUAAAUAGUUGAUAUCCAUCAAAAUAACAAUUAAAAUAAUUCUUUUCCUGAAAAAACACUCCUUUGACCAUAAAAUUCAAUGCAAACAUGACCUAAGUCUACAUCCUGGGAACAAACAUAAAAAAUAAUUAAAAAAAGGUUUUUAAGGCCUAUUUAUUGAUAAAGUUAUGAAUAAAUCACACAUAAAUAUUUGGUCAGUGCAGACAAUGCACAAAACACACAUAAAUAUCUGUAGCUUUCAAGAUCAAUUGUUGUUUCUAUGUGAAUUUUUUUCUUUCAGAAUUCUGUAGUCAUUGGUUGGUUGAACUAAAAUGUAAAUGCAUUUCCAAGAAGUGAGGAACUUUUAUUUUUUAUAUUUCCUUUUUAUGCAAAUUAGAGUUCUUUUAAACAGUUGCAUAAACAGAUUCAUGAAAUAACUUCUUUAAGGAAACUUCUUGUAUGUAUCAUACAUCUAUUGAGUAAACCAUAAUUUUAAGCAGCUAAUAUGGCAUUUUUAGAUUUGUGGUGUAUAAACACCUGGGUGUAGGCAAGUCUUUCUCCAUGUUUAAUUGCUAAUAGAUUGGCUUUAUGUUCAAUUUAUUGUUUUUCUUUUCCUUUUCUCCUUGAAUAUCCUUUCAAAUUUUUAAUUUUGUGAAUUAAUUUUUUCUAACAGAUAUGAGAUCAAGUUAAACAAUGCUAUCCUUGCUGAAGACAAGCACUUGCCUAUGUAAGUUCCUGCUCCAUUAUGCUUUAAUUUAUAUCAAUCUUUUCUUUAUCGGAUUGUUCAUAAACCAUCAGUGAUUGAAACAGAAUAAUUUUUAUGCCUUACUGGGAAAUGGUAUUCAUCCUUUAAUUAUCUUUUCCCCCCUUUUCUUGGCAUGUUUUCAUUGGUUUAGCUCAAUCUUUCAGUUUUUCUAUGAGUGAAAUAUUUUAUUGAUUCUUAAUUCCUUUCCUGAUGGUAUUUUUGCAGGUAUGAAGAAAUGGCUAGCAAAGACAAUGUAGAGUAUAUUGCUGGAGGUAAAAUUAUAAUUUUAAUAGUUUGGAUAUUUAACCAUGCCAUUUGUUUAGAUAUUUCUUGUACAAGUUAUUGAAUAACAAGAUCUAUUGAUGUCUGUCAACUGAUGAGGAUUGCUUUGUUGUGCUUCUUAUAGGUGCUACUAAAAAAAAAAUAAAAGUUGCUCAGGUUUGCUUUCUAUUAUCAUUUGGCAGGGUAGAGAUUUUGACUAUGCUUCUCUAUGGAUCUCAUUCUUUUAUUUUUCCUCUGCUGUUAUAUCUCUUGCAGUGGAUGCUUCAAAUUCCUGGUGCAACAAGUUAUAUGGGCUGUAUUGGAAAGGAUAAGUUUGGAGAGGAGAUGAAGAAAAACUCAAGGCAAGCUGGUGUCAAUGUAACUACUCUGCUUCUUUUAUUUCCUGUUUUUAGGUCAUCUCUUGUGUUUAAGUUUAAUAAGAGUGCUUAUCAGGUACAUUAUUAUGAGGAUGAGACUGCUCCAACAGGGACAUGUGCUGUUUGUGUUGUUGGUGGUGAGAGGUCAGUUUACCUUUUUAGCUUAUAUUUCUAAUUUGCAGUGUUAAUUAAGCCUUGUGCAUUUGAUGGCCACUUUUUCUUGUUGUGAGAUGUUAAUAAAUGAGUUGGCUCACCUUUUGACACUGUCUCUUAAAUAUAUGUGGUCCAUCUGUACAACAAUCAAUUCUUUAUUGCUUCAUGUGCUGAUACUAUGAGGUUGUUUAUUAUGAAUAUGACCAUAAUGCUAUUCUAGUUAAUCAAACUAAAUGUAUCGCUAAAGGUCUUCUAAAGAUUCAACCUAUAAAAAACAAAAAGAUUCAUGCUGGUGGUUUACCACUAUGUAUCCCAUUCUGCAUUAUAUCAAGUUUCUUUUCACGGUAUUGGUGUGCGUAUGCCAGUUGUUAUUUAUAUCAUUCCUAAAGGCUAUGAUAUUUAAAACGUAAAAUUCAGCACUAGCAACAUUCAGAUUUCUCAGACUUCUAAUGUUGGAAAGGAAAAAGAUAUUGAGGCAUUGGUAGCAUAAAGUUAAGCAGUAGUCUCUCAUCUUCAAUAAUUAUGUAAAUUUCAACAAAUUUCAACAAACCCAUUCACAUAAAUUAUGUAAAUUUCAACAAAUUUCAAAUAACGAACAAACUUCAAUAAACAAAAUUCAACAAACUCAUCUACACAAACUCAUCAAAUAACCUGUGGUGGAGCAAUGGAAGAGCUACAGCGAGCAAACUGGAAACGGCUUGACUUGCCGAGGAGAAGCAAACUGGAAACGACCGAUGAGGAGCUGCAGCGACUCUGGACUAAAGACGUGCCAAGGAGAGGCUGGACUCUGGAGAAAUGGAUGCGGCUACUCCCUACCUGCCGCCAGCGUGCUGCUGGCCUGCUGCUGCGUUUUCUUUUUUCUUUGAUUUGGGGAGAGCGAAAAAUUAAAAAAUUUUGAAAUAAAUAAACAAAUGAAAAUUGAGGAGAAGCCAUAAACAGAUAAUAGAGGAGAAACUGAGUAA